ACUUGGGUUAAAAACAUAAGAACUACAUUGGGCCGAACUCCAAGAACAACAUAACAAUACACAACUCUAUUCUACAGUAUUCUCAACUACCACAAAUAUACUCGUUUUUCUGGAAUUGCGUUUCAUUUCGAGGAUACAGAGAAAGAAACUGUAGCAGUAAUUCAUUCAAGUUCCAAUUUUGCGCCAAUUUCACUCUAAGUUUUAUCAGCGGAAGUAUAAAUUGCUGAAUUGUUUGAAGAAAAAUGGAGAAUGAUAGAAAACCACCCCCAAUUUUUUGUUUGAAAUGGCCAUGGGAUAAUAAUGCCAUUAGCCAACACCAGAAAAACCCUAGAAAUAGUCCUUGUGAUUUCGAUACACCUUGGGUCUUCAAAUCAUUACAAACCCUAGGAACCCUUUCUUUCAAUUUCAUCAGUUCAAUUUCAAAAAACCCUUCAAACAACAAUUCCCCACUUAAAAAUUCCCUAUUCAAUUUCGCUGGUUUUUGGCAGAACAAUAAAAUUAGCAAUGAGGUUGAUGUUAGAAGCCCCAAUAGUGGUUUGGAAGUGAAGAAGAAGCAACCUUUGAGAAAGGGUUUAACCCCAGAAGAACAAGCGGAAGCGGAGCAGAGAGCUUUUGCAAUGGCAUUGGCUAGUGGGAAAGAGGCAACAGUUCUUGAGUUUUAUUCCCCUAAUUGUAGACUUUGCAAUUCCCUUCUCGGGUUUGUGACAGAAGUUGAGAAUCGCAAUGCUGAUUGGCUUAACAUUGUCAUGGCUGAUGCUGAGAAUGAGAAAUGGCUACCUGAGCUUCUUCAUUAUGAUAUAAAGUAUGUUCCUUGCUUUGUUAUCAUGGACAAGCAUGGGAGGGCGUUGGCUAAGACUGGUGUUCCUAGCAGUAGGCUACAUGUAGUUGCAGGCAUUUCCCAUCUUCUGAAAUUGAAACGUCCUCAACAGCAUUGAAUACCAGAAUAUAGUAUGCUCAUACACUGUAUACUGGAUAUCUAUUUCUCAUUGCUCCUCAACAUUAUCCAUUGGUGAAAGUAAUGAGAGUAAGGGUUGAUGAGCUGCUUAAUACCCUUGAGUUACACUAUAAGUUCUUCCAAGCAUCUUUUUGCAAGGGAAUAGACUAGAAGUUGACCUUCUUGCCCUACAUUGGUGGACAGUUUAUCCAUAAAGCGUACACUGAAGCUCUUCAGGUGUCGGUAAUCCCUUCUCAUCUGCUUGUUUUAUCUCUUUUGAAUGAUACAGGUUAUUUUAUAGUGUAUAGCUUUAGAAAAUCUGAUCUCUUGACUGAGCAUUGUUUUCUUAGCUUAGCAAAGAUGCACUGAACUGCUAAUAUUUAGCUUAAUUGAAAAUCUGAGUGAAAUCAUUGGAUAGGUCAUGCGCAAGACACAGUCUGAAAGAGUUGUGAAUUGUGAUAUAUUUUGUAGGAGAUAAAGUGGAUUUUGUACGUAACUGAUACAUACAUAUAUGUGACAUUGUCGGACAUAGCUAUGUGAAUUGGAGGUAUCUCCUUUGCCAUCGUACCCCCA
Molecule: RNA transcript, 1507 nt
Organism: Chenopodium quinoa (quinoa)
Lineage: Eukaryota; Viridiplantae; Streptophyta; Magnoliopsida; Caryophyllales; Amaranthaceae
Gene name: thioredoxin-like protein HCF164, chloroplastic
Exons: 5
Source: RefSeq, a predicted model, not a curated record